CCGUGGCCGCCGUCGAGCUGGGCGCGUUUCCCCCGGGUUCGUGUACGGCGGGGACGAAGGAGGUACGGUGUGCGUGGCGUUGUCAGGGGGUGCAGGCAGCGCUGUCAUCGCGACGGUCGGGCUUGCCAACCUAAAAUUAGAGUGGUCAGAGUUUCAGGCGGCGAGAAAGAGGCGGAGCGUAGACAGGGGCGAUUUAUUCGAGUCUCUCAGCCACGAGCUGAAGGCACGGCGCUGGUGGCGGCAGGUGGACCGUGGACUGGUGUCGUCGUCGGCAUGCUCGAUCAGUCCUGAAAGCGCAAGCAGGAGGAAAUAGGGAGUGACACGGUCGACGUCUGUCGAUUUUGUUCUUUCUGAGCUUGCCGGCCCUUAUUUGGGGCCUUGGGUGGCGAUGGUGCUUGUAUGUGAAGGAGAUGGGGCUGCAGUCGACGGCCAACAAGCAUGGAUUAGUUUUGUUGCAUGAUGUGGAGGAAUCAGAGUAUUACAAUAAUUUUAAAGCCUGUUUUAUAAGCCUACAGACCCCAAGAGUAAAUUUCAAGAGGUUUUUUUAUGUGUGCGGUCUCAUGAAUGUUGAACCUUAAUCAUUGUGCUAUAUACAUAUCUGGUCACACUGAAUUUGUUACUGUAUUAUUUUUGUCAUAGCACAUGAGGUAUGU
Long non-coding RNA from Brachypodium distachyon (stiff brome), 653 nucleotides. RefSeq lists it as uncharacterized. The record is from RefSeq and is a predicted model, not a curated record. The transcript has 3 exons. Lineage: Eukaryota; Viridiplantae; Streptophyta; Magnoliopsida; Poales; Poaceae.